Molecule: non-coding RNA, 72 nt
Organism: Phrynosoma platyrhinos (Desert horned lizard)
Lineage: Eukaryota; Metazoa; Chordata; Lepidosauria; Squamata; Phrynosomatidae
Source: the annotation of a GenBank genome assembly
GCCAGUGUAACGCAGUGGGUUGAGCACUGGACUAUGAUUCUGGACAACAGGGUUUGAACCCCUGCUCAGCCA